This 49-nucleotide transfer RNA is filed under the name Klebsiella pneumoniae MGH 48. RNAcentral describes it as "tRNA-Ser". It matches the Rfam family "tRNA", at positions 27 to 71 of the family's 71-position model. From Rfam's summary of the family: Transfer RNA (tRNA) molecules are approximately 80 nucleotides in length. Their secondary structure includes four short double-helical elements and three loops (D, anti-codon, and T loops). Lineage: Bacteria; Pseudomonadati; Pseudomonadota; Gammaproteobacteria; Enterobacterales; Enterobacteriaceae. The record is from RNAcentral.
UUGACUUUUAAUCAAUUGGUCGCAGGUUCGAAUCCUGCACGACCCACCA